CCAUGCAUGUGUAAGUAUAAGUGUUAUACGGCGAAACUGCGAAUGGCUCAUUAAAUCAGUCAUAAUUUACUUGACAAUGGCUUCUACAUGGAUAACCGUGGCAAUUCUAGAGCUAAUACAUGCGUAAAGGCUGGACUCACGUUCAGCUGGUUUUAUUAGAUACGAUACCAACCCUUUGGUUGUGAUGAAUCAUGGUAACUGAUCGGAUCGCUCUGCGAUGAGUCAUCCAAGUCUCUGCCCUAUCAGCUCUCGAUGGUAGUGUAUUGGACUACCAUGGCAGUCACGGGUAACGGAGAAUUAGGGUUCGGUUCCGGAGAGGGAGCCUGAGAAACGGCUACCACAUCUAAGGAAGGCAGCAGGCGCGUAAAUUACCCAAUCCCGACUCGGGGAGGUAGUGACAAGAAAUAACAACUCGGGGUGAAUAACUUUCGAGAUUGCAAUGAUCGUAAAGUAGACAUAUUUGAAAGAAACAAUUGGAGGGCAAGUCUGGUGCCAGCAGCCGCGGUAAUUCCAGCUCCAAUAGCGUAUAUUAAAGUUGUUGCAGUUAAAAAGCUCGUAGUUGAACUUCUGUGUUUCGUUUGAGGAUUCGUCCGGAAAACGGGAUACAUCCGUCUGCAGCAGGAUUCGUCCUGGGGGCAGACAGUUUACCUUGAGAAAAUUAGAGUGUUCCAGGCAGGCGUAGUCCGGAAUACAUUAGCAUGGAAUAAUGGAAGAUGUCUCGGAUCCGUUGUUGGUUGGGUGAAGAGAAAUGAUGAAUAGGGACAGUCGGGGGCAUUAGUAUUUAAUUGUCAGAGGUGAAAUUCUUGGAUUUAUUAAAGACUGACUUCUGCGAAAGCAUUUGCCAAGGAUGUUUUCAUUGAUCAAGAACGAAAGUUAGGGGAUCAAAGACGAUCAGAUACCGUCCUAGUCUUAACUAUAAACUUUACCGACUCGGGAUCAGGUGGGAUCUUAUGCCCGCUUGGCACCGUACGAGAAAUCAAAGUCUUUGGGUUCUGGGGGGAGUAUGGUCGCAAGGCUGAAACUUAAAGGAAUUGACGGAAGGGCACCACCAGGAGUGGAGCCUGCGGCUUAAUUUGACUCAACACGGGGAAACUUACCAGGUCAAAACAUGGGUGUGAUGGACAGAUUGAGAGCUCUUUCUUGAUUCUAUGGGUGGUGGUGCAUGGCCGUUCUUAGUUGGUGGAGCGAUUUGUCAGGUUAAUUCCUUUAACGAACGAGACCUUAACCUGCUAACUAGUGCCCUGUCUCCACAUGGGCCACUUCUUAGAGGGACUAUGCGAGUUUAUCGCAUGGAAGUUUGAGGCAAUAACAGGUCUGUGAUGCCCUUAGAUGUCCUGGGCCGCACGCGCGCUACAAUGGCACAUGCAACGAGUGUUCUGAUCAGAAAUGAUUGGGCAAUCUGCGAGGGUGUGCCGUGAUGGGGAUCGAUCUUUGCAAUUGUGGAUCGUGAACGAGGAAUUCCUAGUAAGCACAAGUCAUCAGCUUGUGCUGAUUACGUCCCUGCCCUUUGUACACACCGCCCGUCGCUCCUACCGAUUUUGAGUGAUCCGGUGAACCUUCUGGACCGAGCUUGCUUGGAAAGUUAAGUAAACCCGAUCACUAGAGAAGAGA
RNAcentral lists this ribosomal RNA (1611 nucleotides) under Trichodina reticulata. RNAcentral describes it as "SSU rRNA". It matches the Rfam family "Eukaryotic small subunit ribosomal RNA". The record is from RNAcentral. Lineage: Eukaryota; Ciliophora; Oligohymenophorea; Mobilida; Trichodinidae.